AUGCAAGUCGAACGGAACUUUUAGUUUAGUGGCAAACGGGUGAGUAACGCGUAGGUAAUCUGCCGCAAAGAUGGGGACAACAGUUCGAAAGGACUGCUAAUACCGAAUGUUGUAAGUAAUUCGCAUGAGUAACUUACUAAAGAUUUAUCGCUUUGCGAGGAGCCUGCGUCCGAUUAGGUAGUUGGUAGGGUAAGAGCGUACCAAGCCUGCGAUCGGUAACCGGUCUGAGAGGAUGAACGGUCACAUUGGAACUGAGACACGGUCCAGACUCCUACGGGAGGCAGCAGUGGGGAAUAUUCCACAAUGGGGGGAACCCUGAUGGAGCGACGCCGCGUGAGUGAAGAAGGGCUUCGGCUCGUAAAGCUCUUUUCUCGUUGACGAAUAGGCUUAGGCAGUUGACGGUAGACGGGGAAUAAGCCACGGCUAACUACGUGCCAGCAGCCGCGGUAAUACGUAGGUGGCAAGCGUUGUCCGGAAUUAUUGGGCGUAAAGGGAGCGCAGGCGGUUUAAUAAGUCAUACUUAAAAGUGCAGGAGUAAAACUUGUGAUGGGUAUGAAACUGUUGGACUUGAGAGCAGGAGAGGCAAGCGGAAUUCCCAGUGUAGCGGUGAAAUGCGUA
RNAcentral lists this ribosomal RNA (618 nucleotides) under uncultured rumen bacterium. RNAcentral describes it as "bacterial SSU rRNA". It matches the Rfam family "Bacterial small subunit ribosomal RNA", at positions 55 to 692 of the family's 1533-position model. The record is from RNAcentral.